RNAcentral lists this long non-coding RNA (376 nucleotides) under Anolis carolinensis (green anole). RNAcentral's name for it is "lncRNA (ENSACAG00000039906.1)". Lineage: Eukaryota; Metazoa; Chordata; Lepidosauria; Squamata; Anolidae. The record is from RNAcentral.
CCUUGCUUUUUUAAAAAAACUCUUUUCCUCUGGGAAGUUAAGCAUCAAUCAAAUGAGUCAUGUGAAAUCAUUGUGGCCUGAUCUUGUAUCGUGAUCCCAUAAGUUCCACAUUAAACCGGAAAUGGAUUUAUGAGCUGUUGAUGUCUAAGAUUCAAGGCCAGAUGACUGCUCUCACUGAGUCAGCUUUCUAGGUUGGCACAAGCUGGGACUAACAACGGGAGCUUACCCCAUCCACGGAUUCAAACCGCUGACCUUUCAAUCAAUUGUAAAUGGUAAACGGAAGCUCUUACGUGUGCCUGUGAGCCCAGAUUCACCCUGCAAAACAAUGAUGCACCACUCAGAUUUGCAGAACAAAUAAUACAAGAACUUUACUAAU